UGACUAGUGAAUACAUAGCUAGCAAGAGGUAGACGCAGUGAACUGAAACAUCUUAGUAGCUGCAGGAAGAGAAAGAAACAUCGAUUCCCUGAGUAGCGGCGAGCGAAAAGGGAAGAGCCCAAACCAAUAAGCUUGCUUGUUGGGGUUGUAGGACUGAACAUUAGAGUUACCAAAGUGCGACGUAGUCGCAACAGUUGGGAAGCUGUGCCAUAGAGGGUGAAAGCCCCGUAGACGAAACGUCGCACUCUCUGUUCAG
This 256-nucleotide ribosomal RNA is filed under the name Limosilactobacillus reuteri. Its description in RNAcentral is "Lactobacillus reuteri partial 23S ribosomal RNA". It matches the Rfam family "Bacterial large subunit ribosomal RNA", at positions 152 to 403 of the family's 2925-position model. The record is from RNAcentral. Lineage: Bacteria; Bacillati; Bacillota; Bacilli; Lactobacillales; Lactobacillaceae.